AUGGGAACGCGAAGAACCUUACCUAGACUUGACAUCUCCUGAAUAGUGUAGAGAUACAUGAAGCCCUUCGGGGCAGGAAGACAGGUGGUGCAUGGUUGUCGUCAGCUCGUGUCGUGAGAUGUUGGGUUAAGUCCCGCAACGAGCGCAACCCUUAUUACUAGUUGCUACCAUUAAGUUGAGCACUCUAGUGAGACUGCCCGGGUUAACCGGGAGGAAGGCGGGGAUGACGUCAAAUCAUCAUGCCCCUUAUGUCUAGGGCUACACACGUGCUACAAUGGUGAGAACAACGAGAUGCAAUACCGCGAGGUGGAGCAAAACUUCAAAACUCAUCUCAGUUCGGAUUGUAGGCUGAAACUCGCCUACAUGAAGUUGGAGUUGCUAGUAAUCGCGAAUCAGAAUGUCGCGGUGAAUACGUUCCCGGGUCUUGUACACACCG
This 436-nucleotide ribosomal RNA is filed under the name uncultured bacterium. RNAcentral's name for it is "bacterial SSU rRNA". It matches the Rfam family "Bacterial small subunit ribosomal RNA", at positions 954 to 1392 of the family's 1533-position model. The record is from RNAcentral.